Biscogniauxia marginata is the source of this 85-nucleotide non-coding RNA. The record is from the annotation of a GenBank genome assembly. Lineage: Eukaryota; Fungi; Ascomycota; Sordariomycetes; Xylariales; Xylariaceae.
UCUCGAUUGGUCUAGUGGUCAGGAUACCUGCUUGUCAUGAGUUACAAUUCCGCAGGUGGCCGGGGUUCGAUUCCCCGAUCGAGAG